CCUACGGGGGGCAGCAGUCGAGAAUCAUUCACAAUGGGGGAAACCCUGAUGGUGCGACGCCGCGUGGGGGAAUGAAGGUCUUCGGAUUGUAAACCCCUGUCAUGUGGGAGCAAAUUAAAAAGAUAGUACCACAAGAGGAAGAGACGGCUAACUCUGUGCCAGCAGCCGCGGUAAUACAGCGGGCUCAAGCGUUGUUCGGAAUCACUGGGCGUAAAGCGUGCGUAGGCUGUUGCGUAAGUCGUGUGUGAAAGGCGCGGGCUCAACCCGCGGACGGCACAUGAUACUGCGAGACUAGAGUAAGGGAGGGGGAACCGGAAUUCUCGGUGUAGCAGUGAAAUGCGUAGAUAUCGAGAGGAACACUCGUGGCGAAGGCGGGUUCCUGGACAUUAACUGACGCUGAGGCACGAAGGCCAGGGGAGCGAAAGGGAUUAGAUACCCCGGUAGUC
RNAcentral lists this ribosomal RNA (446 nucleotides) under uncultured bacterium. Its description in RNAcentral is "partial 16S ribosomal RNA". It matches the Rfam family "Bacterial small subunit ribosomal RNA", at positions 338 to 795 of the family's 1533-position model. The record is from RNAcentral.